Molecule: non-coding RNA, 107 nt
Organism: Acanthosepion pharaonis
Lineage: Eukaryota; Metazoa; Mollusca; Cephalopoda; Sepiida; Sepiidae
Source: the annotation of a GenBank genome assembly
UCACACUGAAACACCAGUUCCCGUACGAUCACAGGAGGAAGUUAAGCAACGUCGAUCUGGGUCAGUACCUAGAUGGGUGACCGUUCGGGAAUACCAGGUGCUGUAAG